RNAcentral lists this long non-coding RNA (5827 nucleotides) under Homo sapiens (human). Its description in RNAcentral is "HSALNT0096111". The stretch from base 1382 to 1685 matches the Rfam family "Metazoan signal recognition particle RNA". Lineage: Eukaryota; Metazoa; Chordata; Mammalia; Primates; Hominidae. The record is from RNAcentral.
GUGCCCGGCCAGUUCUACAAAUGUUAACGUAUAUGUAGAUUUGUGUAACCACCAUUGCAAUUAGGAUAUAAAUCAGUUCCAUCUGUCCAAAAAACUACCUCGAAUUGCCCUUGAUAGUCACGCCCUUCUCCCAGCCCUGACUCCUGGCAACCGCUGGUCUGCUCUUCAUCGCCCUAGCUUUGUCUUUCAAGAAUGCUGUGUAAAUGGAAUCAUACAACACAUAACCUUUUGAGACUGGCUUCUUUCACUCAGUUGUUCCAUGUAUCAGUGGUGUCUGUCCGAAUUCUUGGGGAAGCUGAGGAAACCAGGGCUGUGACUGUAAUAUUCUGCUGUACCUAUGAUCUGUGCCCAUGAUGCUCUGCUGUAUCCAUGAUGCUGUGCCCAUGAUGCCAUGUCAUGCUCUCUGUACCUUGCCAUGCCUGUGACACUAUGCCCUCUCCCUGGGAUUCUGCAGUCUUCCUGGCUGCUCUAGAAGCCAGGGAGAUUCCACCCCAUGUAAAAUGCUCCUGGGGUGGCCUGCUGACCUGGAUUCUCCUCUCAACAUCUUGAGCCCAACCACCUCUGCUGUCAAACUACACAUGGCCCAGGUGACUUCUCUCACAAAUGGGAGAGGGAAUCAGAGCAUUUCAUAGUCAGAGCAGAGGCCCUGGGGAGAUGCCCAUCUGCAGCAGACUUGGGACAACUGAUCCAAUUCAAGUCCAUCAUUGUGCAGAGUGGGAUUGUGAGCCUCAGAGUGGAGAGAAGAUUCAUCCAACUGUGGGUUCGGUGCCAGCCAGAGUGGGACUCCACCCUGACUCCCAGUUCAGAGCUCAUUUUGGUGGGGGGUCCUGAAGUUCUACCAUCAUAGUUACCCCUUGCUUGGGUCUCCAAAAUGUCCCUGUUCCAAUGUAUAUCUGUUACUUAAAUAACACAUUUGCAACAUAGCUAUCAGAGGGGUUGGUUUUUAUUUAGAAAGAAGCUAAUAAGUUAUAUUUUAUUUAUUAUAAAGACAAAAUUGUAACAGCACAAAUGAAAAUAUUAUUAAUAAAAGAAAUUCUUUCUGCCACCCUAAUCAUGUUUCAUUUGUUCACAUUACUUAAUGUCAUUCUAACAUACACACUUUAUGUGUACAUUUAUGCGUACAGCUGUAACCUUUUUAUAUACAUUUUAUCAUCUUUUUUCACUCAAUGUUUAUUUUUUCUAUUUUUAAGGAGCUGAAUUCAGAAGACAAUGUUAUACAUUUAUAUAGCUUUCUACCUUCUGCACAGUAUUUCAUCAAGUAAGUAAACCAUGACACCUUCAUAGUUUUUGUAUCAUGAAAUAUUUUAAUCAUACAGAAAAUCGCAAGGAACAAUAUACCACACAUAUUUAACAAAUAUUGAUAUUUAAAAAAUAUUUCUAAGCUUGGCAUAGUGGUGUGUGCCUAUAGUUCCAGCUACUCACUUGGGAGGCUGAGGCAGGAGGAUCGCUUGAGCCCAGGAAUUUUAGGCUGUGGUGUGCUAUGCUGAUUAGGUAUCUGCACUAAGUUUGGGAUAAAUAUGAUGACCUCCUGGGAGCAGGGGACCACUAGGUUGCCUAAUGUGCGGUGAACCAGCCCAGUCUGGAAAUGGAGCAAGUCAAAAUUCCCGUGCUGAUUAGUUGAGGGAUGGCAUCUGUGAAUAGCUAUGGCUUUCCAUCCUGGGCAACAUAGCGAGACCCUGUCUCUUAAAAAAAAUAAAGAUACAUUUACAGGUACAGUUGGAGCUUUCCUCUGCAUGAUGUACUCAAGUCCCUCCCAGGAUGGACUAUAUAAUUUUCAGGGCCCAGUGCAAAAUGGAAAUGCAGGGACCCUUAUUCAAAAAUCAUGAUGAGUUUCAAGACAGCAACAGCAGAGCAUUAAACCAAGCACAGAGCCCUUCUAAGUACAGGUCUUAGUGCUACUGCACAGGUGACAGCUGUGCUACAUCCAGGCAGCCAGCUCUAAUUCCGCAUCUCCUCUCACUUUCUUAACAUUGAUCUGUGUCUUUGUUGUCCCAUGUUUAUGCUUUUACUUCAUAUACAUGCAUAGACCAAUAUUAUGGAGUAUUGUGUUACAUGUUUUAAAAUAUUGCAUAAAUGGCAUCAUAUUGUCUGUAUCCUUAGGUUGCUUGUCUUACUCUUUUUGAGAGGUAUCUGUGUGGAAUCAUGGAGAUGUUAUUCAUUUUCACUGUCGCCUAAUAAUCCAUUGUGAGAUCUCACCACAGUUCAUUUAUCCAGUACCCUACAUUUUUAUCAUAAUUAACAGUACUAAGGUGAACAUCCUUGGGCACAGUUCUCUGUGCAUGUAUGUGAGUUUCUGUCUAUCUGUCACUAGGUGUGGAAUUGAACUGCUCUGCCUUGCUGGAUGUUGAAGUUAUUUCCAAGUUUUUGCUUGGCAUCAAUGUGCUCCCCUGGGGUGCCUCCCUUUGGAUGUUCCUAAGUCAUCUGAAAAGCUUCCCUUGGGAGACUUUCCUCUGAGCUACCUUUCUUUUAAGAUCACCAUCCACACAGUCAGAAACUGUGUGUCCUGACCCUUUCCUUUUAUUCCCUCACCACUUCUAACCUAUUGCCAAAGCCUAUGGAUUCCCACUCUAAAAUAUGGCUUUAACCCAUCCUUCCUCCAUUUCCUUCCUGCUACUUCUGUUAUCUUGGCUCGGGAACCCCCCUCCCCUAGACUCCUUUUCCAACUCCUAACUUGUCCCUCAACCCCCCCAGUCUCCAGCCCCCCAACUUUCUCCACUGAAGGACUUAUUACACCCUACCAAGUUGCAUGGUGACAUGGUGACAUGCAGUGCUCCCAUGAACAUUGUAGAGAUCAGAGCUGUGAGUUACAUGACAGCAAAGAUUGCAUCAUAGUCACCAUUUGUGGACCUGUAGCAUGGUACCUGGUACCCAACAGAAUCUAAAAAUAUCUGUUGAAUCAAAGUCCGAAUAAACAUCAUGCUGUCAUUUUCCUAUCUUUUGGAUGACUCAGGAUAAAUUCGCCAAAGGAGCAUUAUUGAUGACUUAGGAUAAUGAACAUAAAGUUCAUAGUCCUGUGUAAACUGAAUUUGAUCCACACAAAACUUUAGGUCAGUUGAGACCAGCAUGGGCAACAGAGUGAGACCCUGUCUCUACAAAAAUAUAAAUAAGUUAGCUGGACAUGGUGGCGUGCCUAUCGUUCUUACUACUUGGGAGGCUAAGCAGGGAGGAUCACUUAAGCCCAGGAGCUUGGAGCUGCAGUGAACUAUGAUCACACUACCGCACUCCAGUCUGUGACAGAACGAGACCUUGUCUCUAAAUAAAAAUAUAUAAUUUAAAAAACUCUAGGUCAGGUGUGAGAGAUAGGAUGACCCUUAGCAAGAAGUGGUUUUCCCAAGAUCCCAAAGCCAGUAAGAGACAAAGUAUAAAGAGCAACAGGUACUCAGGUAUUCUUUCCACCUGCUUGUCCUAUUUCAUAGGUGUCCUAAAUUUAGUUUAGAAAUAACUAAAUAUAAACUAUGUUGCCUUUUAAUGUCGGGUGACUGUCUCUUUAAAUCUUGCUGUUUUAACACAAAUAUACUUCAUUCUAAUGUGUAUAUAUAUAUAAUAUGUAUAUAUAUUUAAAUAAUAACCUGAUAGAAUUUGUAUCUCUCUAGAAAAGAAAGAACUCUCAUCUCGGGGCCUUUGUUUAUCCAUCUAUUAAAUGGGCAUAAGGAGGGUCCUUCUAGGAUCUUUUGCUCUGUGAGUAGAUAAGGAAAAAGCACACUUUUCUAUCCCUAUCUAAUUUUGUUGCUCCCAUGCUCUGUGCAGUCAUUUAUGGGGCUGAGGAGGAUGAAGGAGGAGGAUUUAUGGGGCUCUUGCAAAACUGGGAAACAGUAAUAGCUGACAUUAUAGCUGCCAGUGCCCCUUACCUGCUGAUUUGAAAGCCCUUUAAUCACUUGUAGCUUAUGAAACAGAAAGUGAUCUGCUAGCUAUUUCCCCCAAAUGCGUUGGUGAGUUCAUAGGUUAACCCUACAGGAAGGAGACAGCAUUGCUAAACACAAGAAGAGCCUUACUUACUUCAUGGGCUUUCAAGUGUCAAGGGCCCCAAUCCUUGACUCUGAGACCCUCAAAUGAUACCAUCUAGCUGAUGUUGUUCUAAAGGGUCAGCCCUGAGGAGAAGUUCAUCCUAUGGAAGUCACCUGAGCACUCCACAUACCAUCUGAAGCCCUGGCUUCCAGUUCUGGCUCUGCCACUAAAGGGCUGUGUGACCUCAGCCACAUUCCUCCACAUUUACAGUGAAGCUGGUGGAAAACACGUUUCCACUGCCCCUCCACAGUUCUAAAGUUCUAUCAUUCAAUGGGAGGUGGAGAUGGUUCUCAGCAUCAACAAUACAAAGCAGGGAGAUUUUUAGUUCCUCUUGGCCUGAGUCCCUGCCUCCUGGACAGAAGCUGGGAAAUAGAUGAGCAUCUGGCUCCCUGGCCUGGGUCACAGAAUCACAGAAUCGUGGGUGGCUGGCAGGAAGCCUCUGCGUUUGCCAAGACCCACGUCCUACCUCCCUCCCUCAUUCAACACAAAUUUACUAAGCAGUUGCGUUGAGUAGAAUGUGGGCAGAGAUGGCGGCUGUUGUGUUCACCAAUUUAUCCAUGGCAUCUAGCGCAGUGGCUGGCACAUAGUAGCUGCUCACUACAUAUCUGCUGAAUGAUGUCUCAUCUCCUACAGUAGGGGAGCCUAUUAAGCACAGAUUCCUGGGCCCACCCCAGACCUACUGAAUUGGAAUCUCUGGCGUUAGUGUCCAAGUGACUGUCAUGCCCUCCAGAGUCUGAGAACCACAGCUGUAUGUAGUGUCUGAAUAAAGCAUCAUCUUAUUAUUGGAAAGGAGAAAAUGCUGAUGUUUCAACUUUUGAGCAUUUGUCGGUAGUGACUAAAAUAUUCAAGUCAAAUAGGUUCAUUUUGCUGUAGCCAUUUCCAUGGAGCCUGGGGAGCUCUGGGCUUUGCACUAGGUAUGCACAGGGCUCACUUUCACUAAUCUUGAGGGAGGCGAGGCUGAUAAAAAAGGCAGAGAAGAUAGGAGUCAAGCCACACAAUGUCCAAGCUUGGCAUUAUUAUUGCCCUUCACUUGGAAGUUAUCAAACAGGACACGCGCUGCCCUUCUAGCUUUCCUGGGGAGGUUAGAUGCUAUGAGACUUUUCACACUCCCUUUCCAGUGUCUGUGGCUCAGACCAUGUACACACCCAGGUUCAAAUCUGAGCUGUUGUCUCUAUGUAGUCUGGGGCCAAUCACUUUAACCCCCUUUAAACUUUUGUUUCUUUAGUCAUAAAAUGGACAUCAUGAUUUACCCUACGGAGGGUUGCUGGAAGGAUUAGAGAUGCUAUAAACUCAGGCGUUGGGCACAUGCUCAGUACAGAAAAGCCCUAAGGUUUGGUUGAUGUCUAUAAACUGCCAUAACAUCCGGGCUGCAGGACUCUGUAGAGGUUCAUCUAGGCUAGCUCCUUCUUCUUUUUUUUUUUUUUUGAGACGGAGUCUUGCUCUGUCGCCCAGGCUGGAGUGCGAUGGCACAAUCUCAGCUCACUGCAGCCUCCGCCUCCUGGGUUCAAGCAAUUCUCCUGACUCAGCCUCCCUAGUAGCUGGGACUACAGGCGGGGGCCACCACGCCCUGCUAAUUUUUUGUAUUUUUAGUGAGAUGAGGUUUCACCCUGUUAGCCAGGAUGGUCUAGAUCUCCUGACCUCAUAAUCAGCCUGCCUCAGCCUCCCAAAGUGCUGGGAUUAUAGGCGUGAGCCACUGCGCCCGGACUGCUCCUUCUUUUUUUUUUUGAGAGGAAGUCUCGCUCUUGUCCCCAGGCUGGAGUGCGCCCAACUGACCACUCCUUCGUUUUUUUGUUUUUUGUUUUUGAGACGAAGUCUUGCUCUU